UAAGGAUGAAAUCAUAGAGAUAUUUCAUUUACAAUGAAAAUUUGCGUUUUGCCGUCCUUAU
This 61-nucleotide transfer RNA is filed under the name Argas walkerae. Its description in RNAcentral is "tRNA-Val". The record is from RNAcentral. Lineage: Eukaryota; Metazoa; Arthropoda; Arachnida; Ixodida; Argasidae.